RNAcentral lists this ribosomal RNA (490 nucleotides) under uncultured Mesorhizobium sp. RNAcentral describes it as "bacterial SSU rRNA". It matches the Rfam family "Bacterial small subunit ribosomal RNA", at positions 896 to 1382 of the family's 1533-position model. Lineage: Bacteria; Pseudomonadati; Pseudomonadota; Alphaproteobacteria; Hyphomicrobiales; Phyllobacteriaceae. The record is from RNAcentral.
GAAACUUAAAGGAAUUGACGGAGGCCCGCACAAGCGGUGGAGCAUGUGGUUUAAUUUCGAAGCAACGCGCAGAACCUUACCAGCCCUUGACAUCCCGGUCGCGGUUUCCAGAGAUGGAUUCCUUCAGUUCGGCUGGACCGGUGACAGGUGCUGCAUGGCUGUCGUCAGCUCGUGUCGUGAGAUGUUGGGUUAAGUCCCGCAACGAGCGCAACCCUCGCCCUUAGUUGCCAUCAUUCAGUUGGGCACUCUAAGGGGACUGCCGGUGAUAAGCCGAGAGGAAGGUGGGGAUGACGUCAAGUCCUCAUGGCCCUUACGGGCUGGGCUACACACGUGCUACAAUGGUGGUGACAGUGGGCAGCGAGACCGCGAGGUCGAGCUAAUCUCCAAAAGCCAUCUCAGUUCGGAUUGCACUCUGCAACUCGAGUGCAUGAAGUUGGAAUCGCUAGUAAUCGUGAAUCAGAAUGUCACGGUGAAUACGUUCCCGGGCCUU